Molecule: long non-coding RNA, 460 nt
Filed under: Homo sapiens (human)
Lineage: Eukaryota; Metazoa; Chordata; Mammalia; Primates; Hominidae
Description: PREDICTED lncRNA (TCONS_00272717)
Source: RNAcentral
AUUUCCUUAUUGUGGACUUCCAUAAGAAUGAAACCAUAUGCUAAUAAUUGCAGCAACUGUGCCAGCAUCCUAUUAUAUUCUGCCAUGUACAGAUGAGAAAACUGAGUCUCUGAGACAGUUAAGGAACUUGUCUAAGGCAGCAUCCAGCAAGAGAAAGCAGGGAGGAGCUGACAGAGCCCUCAUCACUGCUUCCCUGACAGGAGGUAGGGGAAGCAAAAAAGAGCCUCUGAGGGGAAGCUCACCUCUGCUCGGACCCACCACAGUUACAGCACCUGUCCAGCUUUCUGUAGCACUUGAAGAAUCCUUUUGGAGCUGAGCAUCUAUUAGAAUCUUGAGGAACCAAUGUUUGUGGAACAUACUUUGGGAAAUGCUGGAGUGGAUCAUUACCCAGGACUGCAUUGCUGUGACCAGUGGUGAUUCUGCUUAAGUUAUUAUUUGAGGCAAGAGGAUGGUGUCUGAC